GUGGAACCCCGUGCGAAUCCGCCCAGACCGUUGGGUAAGCCUGAAUAUUCCUGUCUGACCGAUAGCGAACGAGUACCGUGAGGGAAAGGUGAAAAGUACCCCGGGAGGGGAGUGAAACAGUCUCUGAAACCGUGCGCCUACAAUCCGUCGGAGCCCUUUUGUGGGGUGACGGCGUGCCUAUCGAAAAAUGAGUCUGCGAGUCAGUGGCAUGUGGCGAGCAUAACCCGUGUGGGGUAUGCGUAGCGAAGGCGAGUCUUAAAAGGCGUUUGAGUCGCGUGUCCUGGACCCGAAGCGGGAUGAUCUAGCCCUGAGCAGGUUGAAGCGCGGGUAAGACCGCGUGGAGGACCGAACCCACCUGGGUUGAAAACCGGGGGGAUGACUUGGGGCUAGGGGUGAAAGGCCAAUCAAAUUCCGUGAUAGCUGGUUCUCUCCGAAAUGCAUUUGGGUGCAGCGUCGGGUCAUUACGUCCCGGGGGUAGAGCUACUGGAUGCUUGCGGGCCCGUAUCGGGUACCAACAGCAACCAAACUCCGAAUACCGGUGACGCGUAUCCCGGCAGUGAGUCGGCGGGGGAUAAGCUUCGUCGUCGAAAGGGAAACAGCCCAGACCGUCGUCUAAGGUCCCGAAGCGUGUGCUAAGUGGGAAAGGAUGUGGAGUCGCAUAGACAGCCAGGAGGUUGGCUCAGAAGCAGCCACCCUUGAAAGAGUGCGUAACAGCUCACUGGUCUAGUGGUUCCGCGCCGACAAUGUAGCGGGGCUCAAGCACACCACCGAAGACGCGGCAGUAUUUUGUACUGGGUAGGAGAGCGUCCCAUGAGGGGCGAAGCGGCCGUGUGAACGCGCCGUGGACUUCAUGGGAGUGAGAAUGCAGACAUGAGUAGCGAGAGACGGGUGAAGAUCCCGUCCGCUGGAUGACCAAGGGUUCCAGGGCCACGUUCAUCGUCCCUGGGUGAGUCGGGUCCUAAGGCGAGGCCGACAGGCGUAGUCGAAUGGAUGAACGGGUCGAUAUUCCCGUACCUGCUUUCAGCCGCCAAAACCGAGGCUUGGAGUACUAACCUCCGGGUCCGGGCUUACUGCUCCUUCGGGGGCGGGAUGCCCUGGCCUGUUGGGACCGAUCCUUGUAGUAGGUCAGCGCAGGAGUGACGCAGAAGGGUAGCCGGCCGCGGAGGUGGUCUUCCGUGGUCAAGCACGCAGGGCGUGGGACAGGCAAAUCCGUCCCGCAUGGGUCCGAGGUGCGAUGAUGGGGGCCUUAUGGCCCGAUAUCCGGUGAUCCCGGCUGCCGAGAAAAGCUUCGGCGUCAGGCUCGAAGCCGCCCGUACCCCAAACCGACACUGGUGGUCAGGUAGAGAAUACCAAAGCGAUCGAGCGAAUCCUGGUCAAGGAACUCGGCAAAUCACUCCCGUUCCUUCGGUUUAAGGGAGACCCCCGAUGGUGAACACACUUGCUGUGGGAGCUUUUGGGGGUGGCACAGACCAGGGGGUAGCGACUGUUUACCAAAAACACAGGUGCAUGCGAAGGCGCAAGCCGCUGUAUAUGCACUGACGCCUGCCCGGUGCCGGAAGGUUAAGAGGAUCCGUCAGCCUUCGGGUGAAGCGGUGAAUUCAAGCCCCGGUAAACGGCGGUGGUAACUAUAACCAUCCUAAGGUAGCGAAAUUCCUUGUCGGGUAAGUUCCGACCUGCACGAAUGGUGCAACGACUUCCCCACUGUCUCGACCAGGAGCUCGGCGAAAUUGCAGUACGAGUAAAGAUGCUCGUUAAGCGCAGAAGGACGAAAAGACCCCGGGACCUUUACUAUACCUUGGUAUUGGCAUUCGGUGUGGAUUGUGUAGCAUAGGCGGGAGGCCGAGAGGCGCGGUC
RNAcentral lists this ribosomal RNA (1854 nucleotides) under human gut metagenome. RNAcentral describes it as "bacterial LSU rRNA". It matches the Rfam family "Bacterial large subunit ribosomal RNA", at positions 426 to 2169 of the family's 2925-position model. The record is from RNAcentral.